RNAcentral lists this ribosomal RNA (420 nucleotides) under bacterium. RNAcentral describes it as "partial 16S ribosomal RNA". It matches the Rfam family "Bacterial small subunit ribosomal RNA", at positions 355 to 776 of the family's 1533-position model. The record is from RNAcentral.
UGGGGGAUAUUGCACAAUGGGCGAAAGCCUGAUGCAGCGACGCCGCGUGGGGGAUGAAGGCUUUCGGGUUGUAAACCUCUUUCGCUAUCGAACAAGGCCCGCUUAGGGUGGGUUGAGGGUAGGUGGAGAAGAAGCGCCGGCUAACUACGUGCCAGCAGCCGCGGUAAUACGUAGGGCGCGAGCGUUGUCCGGGAUUAUUGGGCGUAAAGGGCUUGUAGGCGGCUUGUUGCGCCUGCUGUGAAAACGCGGGGCUUAACUUCGCGCGUGCAGUGGGUACGGGCAGGCUUGAGUGUGGGAGGGGUGACUGGAAUUCCAGGUGUAGCGGUGGAAUGCGCAGAUAUCUGGAGGAACACCGAUGGCGAAGGCAGGUCACUGGGCCAUUACUGACGCUGAGGAGCGAAAGCAUGGGUAGCGAACAGG